Monodelphis domestica (gray short-tailed opossum) is the source of this 166-nucleotide small nuclear RNA. Its record names the gene U1. It matches the Rfam family "U1 spliceosomal RNA". From Rfam's summary of the family: U1 is a small nuclear RNA (snRNA) component of the spliceosome (involved in pre-mRNA splicing). Its 5' end forms complementary base pairs with the 5' splice junction, thus defining the 5' donor site of an intron. There are significant differences in sequence and secondary structure between metazoan and yeast U1 snRNAs, the latter being much longer (568 nucleotides as compared to 164 nucleotides in human). Lineage: Eukaryota; Metazoa; Chordata; Mammalia; Didelphimorphia; Didelphidae. The record is from Ensembl.
GUAUUUGCCUGGCAGGAGUGAUUCUAGGAACCCAAAGGUAGUUUUCCCAGGGUGAGGUUUAUCCAUUGCACUCAAGAUGGGCUGACCCCCUGUGAUUUCUCCAAGAGUAGGAAAUUCAACUGCAUAAUUUGUGCUAGUAAGCAACUGCAUUUGUGGCCAUCUCUGG